AGUUCGGACUGGAGUCUGCAACCCGACUCCACGAAGUUGGAUUCGCUAGUAAUCGCGCAUCAGCCAUGGCGCGGUGAAUACGUUCCCGGGCCCUGUACACACCGCCCGUCAAGCCAUGGGAGCCGGGGGCGCCUGAAGUCCGGGACCGCGAGGACCGGCCUAGGGCGAAACUGGUAACUGGGGCUAAGUCGUAACAAGGUACC
RNAcentral lists this ribosomal RNA (203 nucleotides) under uncultured bacterium. RNAcentral's name for it is "partial 16S ribosomal RNA". It matches the Rfam family "Bacterial small subunit ribosomal RNA", at positions 1290 to 1500 of the family's 1533-position model. The record is from RNAcentral.